RNAcentral lists this ribosomal RNA (258 nucleotides) under uncultured bacterium. Its description in RNAcentral is "partial small subunit ribosomal RNA". It matches the Rfam family "Bacterial small subunit ribosomal RNA", at positions 26 to 285 of the family's 1533-position model. The record is from RNAcentral.
AGGACGAACGCUGGCGGCGUGCUUAACACAUGCAAGUCGAACGGUAAGGCCCCUUCGGGGGUACACGAGUGGCGAACGGGUGAGUAACACGUGAGUAACCUGCCCUUGACUCUGGGAUAACAGUUGGAAACAGCUGCUAAUACCGGAUACUCAACCUCUGAGGCAUCUUCGAGGUUGGAAAGUUCCGGCGGUCAAGGAUGGACUCGCGGGCUAUCAGCUUGUUGGUGAGGUAAUGGCUCACCAAGGCUUCGACGGGUA